RNAcentral lists this ribosomal RNA (253 nucleotides) under uncultured bacterium. RNAcentral describes it as "partial 16S ribosomal RNA". It matches the Rfam family "Bacterial small subunit ribosomal RNA", at positions 524 to 776 of the family's 1533-position model. The record is from RNAcentral.
UACGUAGGGUGCGAGCGUUAAUCGGAAUUACUGGGCGUAAAGCGUGCGCAGGCGGGCUUUUAAGCCAGACGUGAAAUCCCCGGGCUUAACCUGGGAAUGGCGUUUGGGACUGGAAGUCUGGAGUGCGGCAGAGGAGACUGGAAUUCCUGGUGUAGCAGUGAAAUGCGUAGAUAUAAGGAGGAACACCGAUGGCGAAGGCAGGUCUCUGGGCUGACACUGACGCUCAUGCACGAAAGCGUGGGGAGCAAACAGG